Molecule: long non-coding RNA, 212 nt
Filed under: Elaeis guineensis (African oil palm)
Lineage: Eukaryota; Viridiplantae; Streptophyta; Magnoliopsida; Arecales; Arecaceae
Description: long non-coding RNA (EGUI_LNC039866)
Source: RNAcentral
CUCCUUUCCAACAUCUCCUCCUCCCUUCUCCCCUUCAUCCAAUGCCCAGAUCUUAUAGUGAUCAGAUCUAAGAAGAGAAAAGAGAGAGAAGAGAAAAAGAAGAAGAGUUUUUCUUCUCUUCAUGGUGAUCUGGUUCAGAUCCUAUCGGAUCUAUGCGAAAGAGUUCAUGCAGCGAUCUUUUUCUUCAAAAUCUGAAAGAAGAGAUCCAGAUC